This 252-nucleotide ribosomal RNA is filed under the name uncultured bacterium. Its description in RNAcentral is "partial 16S ribosomal RNA". It matches the Rfam family "Bacterial small subunit ribosomal RNA", at positions 524 to 776 of the family's 1533-position model. The record is from RNAcentral.
UACGGAGGAUGCGAGCGUUAUCCGGAUUUAUUGGGUUUAAAGGGUGCGUAGGCGGAUUCUUAAGUCAGCGGUAAAAUGUCCGGGCUCAACCCGGGCCGGCCGUUGAAACUGGGGAUCUUGAGUGGGCGAGAAGUAUGCGGAAUGCGUGGUGUAGCGGUGAAAUGCAUAGAUAUCACGCAGAACUCCGAUUGCGAAGGCAGCGUACCGGCGCCCAACUGACGCUGAAGCACGAAGGCGUGGGUAUCGAACAGG